AUUGAACGCUGGCGGCGUGCCUAACACAUGCAAGUCGAGCGGUAACAGGCGUAGCAAUACGUGCUGACGAGCGGCGAACGGGUGAGCAAUGCUUCGGAAUCUGCCCUGUAGUGGGGAAUAACCAGCCGAAAGGUUGGCUAAUACCGCAUACGCCCCCUUUCUUGGUUGAAAGGUGGGAAAGCGGGGGACCGUAAGGCCUCGCGCUAUUGGAUGAGCCGAAGUCGGAUUAGCUAGUUGGUAGGGUAACGGCCUACCAAGGCGACGAUCCGUAGCUGGUCUGAGAGGACGACCAGCCACACUGGGACUGAGACACGGCCCAGACUCCUACGGGAGGCAGCAGUGGGGAAUAUUGGACAAUGGGGGCGAACCCUGAUCCAGCGACGCCGCGUGUGUGAAGAAGGCCUGCGGGUUGUAAAGCACUUUUAGUGGGGAUGAAAAGCUCGGGGAUAACACCUCCGGGUCUUGACCUAACCCACCAGAAAAAGCACCGGCUAACUCUGUGCCAGCAGCCGCGGUAAC
Molecule: ribosomal RNA, 519 nt
Filed under: uncultured bacterium
Lineage: Bacteria
Description: bacterial SSU rRNA
Rfam family: Bacterial small subunit ribosomal RNA
Source: RNAcentral